UGUGAUGGGGAGAAGACAUUGUGUCUUCGAGUCGUUGAUUUCACACUGCCGAGAAAAGCCUCUAGAUAGAAAAUAGGUGCCCGUACCGCAAACCGACACAGGUAGUCAAGAUGAGAAUUCUAAGGUGAGCGAGCGAACUCUCGUUAAGGAACUCGGCAAAAUGACCCCGUAACUUCGGGAGAAGGGGUGCUCUUUAGGGUUAACGCCCAGAAGAGCCGCAGUGAAUAGGCCCAAGCGACUGUUUAUCAAAAACACAGGUCUCUGCUAAACCGUAAGGUGAUGUAUAGGGGCUGACGCCUGCCCGGUGCUGGAAGGUUAAGAGGAGUGGUUAGCUUCUGCGAAGCUACGAAUCGAAGCCCCAGUAAACGGCGGCCGUAACUAUAACGGUCCUAAGGUAGCGAAAUUCCUUGUCGGGUAAGUUCCGACCCGCACGAAAGGCGUAACGAUUUGGGCACUGUCUCAACGAGAGACUCGGUGAAAUCAUAGUACCUGUGAAGAUGCAGGUUACCCGCGACAGGACGGAAAGACCCCGUGGAGCUUUACUGUAGCCUGAUAUUGAAAUUCGGCACAGCUUGUACAGGAUAGGUAGGAGCCUUUGAAACGUGAGCGCUAGCUUACGUGGAGGCGCUGGUGGGAUACUACCCUAGCUGUGUUGGCUUUCUAACCCGCACCACU
RNAcentral lists this ribosomal RNA (675 nucleotides) under Staphylococcus aureus. Its description in RNAcentral is "partial 23S ribosomal RNA". It matches the Rfam family "Bacterial large subunit ribosomal RNA", at positions 1561 to 2236 of the family's 2925-position model. Lineage: Bacteria; Bacillati; Bacillota; Bacilli; Caryophanales; Staphylococcaceae. The record is from RNAcentral.